Molecule: non-coding RNA, 250 nt
Organism: Bactrocera oleae (olive fruit fly)
Lineage: Eukaryota; Metazoa; Arthropoda; Insecta; Diptera; Tephritidae
Source: RefSeq, a predicted model, not a curated record
AAGGAAUACGACGUACAGGAUCAUCGACCAUUUCUCUCACUCAAUCAAAGUGGCUUAAAUAAGGCGGAUCAAAUAAAGUUUGCCCGUUAUUUGGGUCAGGGACUACCCACAUUUACGCUUUUCUGCAUUUAUAGUAAUUUCAAAAAUCUUUUCUGCACUAAACGUACAGAAAUCUACACAAAAGAUGGUUACAAUUUGCCUUAUAUAUUGGACAAAACGAAACGUUUUCUAUCGAAUACAACGGCAGGUU